AAUGAAGUGCCUGAAAAAGGAUUAUUUUGAUAGAAUAAAUCAUGUAAUUAUAUUACCUUCAUUA
This 64-nucleotide transfer RNA is filed under the name Tenebrio molitor (yellow mealworm). RNAcentral's name for it is "tRNA-Ile". Lineage: Eukaryota; Metazoa; Arthropoda; Insecta; Coleoptera; Tenebrionidae. The record is from RNAcentral.